RNAcentral lists this ribosomal RNA (497 nucleotides) under uncultured bacterium. RNAcentral's name for it is "partial 16S ribosomal RNA". It matches the Rfam family "Bacterial small subunit ribosomal RNA", at positions 28 to 507 of the family's 1533-position model. The record is from RNAcentral.
GAUGAACGCUGGCGGCGUGCCUAAUACAUGCAAGUCGAGCGAACGGACGAGAAGCUUGCUUUUCUGAUGUUAGCGGCGGACGGGUGAGUAACACGUGGAUAACCUACCUAUAAGACUGGGAUAACUUCGGGAAACCGGAGCUAAUACCGGAUAAUAUUUUGAACCGCAUGGUUCAAAAGUGAAAGACGGUCUUGCUGUCACUUAUAGAUGGAUCCGCGCUGCAUUGGCUAGUUGGUAAGGUAACGGCUUACCAAGGCAACGAUGCAUAGCCGACCUGAGAGGGUGAUCGGCCACACUGGAACUGAGACACGGUCCAGACUCCUACGGGAGGCAGCAGUAGGGAAUCUUCCGCAAUGGGCGAAAGCCUGACGGAGCAACGCCGCGUGAGUGAUGAAGGUCUCCGGAUCGUAAAACUCUGUUAUUAGGGAAGAACAUAUGUGUAAGUAACUGUGCACAUCUUGACGGUACCUAAUCAGAAAGCCACGGCUAACUACGUG